Molecule: ribosomal RNA, 253 nt
Filed under: uncultured bacterium
Lineage: Bacteria
Description: partial 16S ribosomal RNA
Rfam family: Bacterial small subunit ribosomal RNA
Source: RNAcentral
UACGGAGGGUGCGAGCGUUGUCCGGAUUUAUUGGGUUUAAAGGGUGCGUAGGCGGCCCGGUAAGUUUGGGGUGAAAGCCCGUUGCUCAACAACGGAACUGCCCUGAAAACUGCCGGGCUUGAGUCCAGUCGAGGUUGGCGGAAUGGGCGAUGUAGCGGUGAAAUGCAUAGAUAUCGCCCAGAACACCGAUUGCGAAGGCAGCUGACUAGGCUGGUACUGACGCUGAGGCACGAAAGCGUGGGGAGCGAACAGG